Molecule: small nuclear RNA, 21 nt
Filed under: Arabidopsis thaliana (thale cress)
Lineage: Eukaryota; Viridiplantae; Streptophyta; Magnoliopsida; Brassicales; Brassicaceae
Description: snRNA_00436
Source: RNAcentral
UCAUUGUGAAGCAGAAUUCAC